This 798-nucleotide long non-coding RNA is filed under the name Oryzias sinensis (Chinese medaka). RNAcentral describes it as "lncRNA (ENSOSIG00000000076.1)". The record is from RNAcentral. Lineage: Eukaryota; Metazoa; Chordata; Actinopteri; Beloniformes; Adrianichthyidae.
AUGCUCCAUUCUUCAUUUCUUAGAAGUCUUUUCAGCUUAAAUAAAGGCAAGGAUGGAAGGAACAAACAACCGGCACAGUGUUUUCAUUGUGUGAAGGAGACCAGCGUAAUGUCUCCUUUUUGGGCCAACGGCUUAAGAGGCUGCAGGUCAUGUGACCGCUGCCACUGUUGCUCAUCUUUCUGUGUGUUUCAGGGCCGUGCAGUGGCAGACUUGGACGAGCCCCUCCAGAUAGAAGAAGACUCACACUGGCAAACAGACCCGACCUCAAAGCAUCCAGAGACGUCAGGGCUCCACUUCAACAUGAUCAACCAGCUGAAGGAGGCUGUGCAGCUCCUGCAGGACCCCAGCAGGGUGAACACCGAUGAUGUGUCAGGAGUGCAGCUCUACCCGGUGGAGAUGGUCACAGUGGAAGAGUCAAUAAAUGGGCAGGACAGCGAUGAUGGCGACUUCAGGCCAAAGCGGGAUGAAGGGUCUCCGGUCAGCGGACCUCCAUCCUUCUCCAGCCCCCCCUUUGGACUGAAGCCCCGCUCAGCUCCGCCGUCACUUCCGUGCUCACCUCCCCCUUCCUGUCUAGACCCCUCCCUUCUCCCACAGGCCUCGCCCCUCCAUAGAGACACACAUCGUAGCCAUGACGACGGGGACAUUCACAAUCGCGGUGAGCCACCCUUUUUCUGCCAACGUGCGUCACUCAGGGGGUUUAUUUCCGUCCUUACUGAGUGGAAGUGCUUGGGCGUCCUCUUCAGAAUAAUGUUUCAGGAAAGUGAAGAAAAUAGGCUUUGUUUUAUCUCAUCAUCUUGA